This 505-nucleotide long non-coding RNA is filed under the name Mytilus galloprovincialis (Mediterranean mussel). Lineage: Eukaryota; Metazoa; Mollusca; Bivalvia; Mytilida; Mytilidae. The record is from RNAcentral.
CGUAUUUCAAAGAUUUAUUGGCAUUUAUUUUCUAUGAAAAACAUUCAAUUUGACUACAACCACAUAACGUGGUGUAAAGAUAAGUGUCUGCUGCGAAAGUAAGAGCAAUCUGACUUACGUGUCAUGCUUCAAUUAUAACCUAUUCAGUUCUUGUAUUUUAAAUGGCCUUCAGAUGACGAAAAGACGCUCCAUCAGGGUGUUCAGUCCUUCGUGCCUAAUAAGUGCGAUAUGUAAGGCACAAAGUUAGUAUGGUAGCUACUGACUUGAGUCAAAUUUAACCCCCAAAAAGUAUAUUCCUCAGUCUAGAGUAAGGAAUUGGCAGACCACGUGUGUCUACGAUUUACCUAUUGUAGGAAUUAUAUAACAUAUAUGCUUCAUCCAAAAGAAAUACAGCUUAUAUAGGUAUACAUAGUUCUAAAACUCUGUAUGGCAUCACUGCGCAGGGAAAAAAUAAAAUCCUUGUCUGAUCAAAUGGAAGCAGCAAACUUUUGAGGAACGAAAGGAC